GUGUUCCUACGGGGCGCAGCAGUGGGGAAUAUUGGGCAAUGGGCGCAAGCCUGACCCAGCAACGCCGCGUGAAGGAAGAAGGCCCUCGGGUUGUAAACUUCUUUUAUUCGGGACGAAACAAAUGACGGUACCGAAUGAAUAAGCCACGGCUAACUACGUGCCAGCAGCCGCGGUAAUACGUAAGUGGCAAGCGUUAUCCGGAUUUACUGGGUGUAAUGGGCGUGUAGACGGGGGAGCAAGUCCGACGUG
Molecule: ribosomal RNA, 249 nt
Filed under: uncultured bacterium
Lineage: Bacteria
Description: partial 16S ribosomal RNA
Rfam family: Bacterial small subunit ribosomal RNA
Source: RNAcentral